CCACAAAAGUACCGAUCGUCUUUAAUGCAGGUGUGAGGUGGCAAAAGAUUUGAUGGUUGGUAUCCGAUAUCUCAAGUUCGAAUCCAAAUUGAUUCACAUUUUCAGCUAAAUUUAUUUUUUAAAAAUUAAACGAAACAGGUAAAAUGCUACAUUUCUUUCUCUCUCAACAAAAAAGCCCAUAAUAGUGAGUGUGUUGCACUCACAUAAUUUCUGUUCGAAAAUGGGUCUAACCAGCUUUGCACUUGGGUUCAGGUUAGGUUUUAGUCAUUUUGAGCCGAAGACGAGCCUGAUGUCGAACUAAUCAUUUUGAGUCAGACUCGUAUUUUGGUUUAACUUGAUACGAAUUCAGUUCCGGUCCAUUUGAACAAUUUAACUAAAGAUAAGAAACAGUUUGAAAGUAGAAAAUCAAAAUGUAAGGAGCAUGCGAGUACCGUGAGCUCGACGUCGAUCGACUCCCAUCCCGCCAAAGUUGAAAAGUUGAUAUUCAAUGAGAAUUCGAAUAAUCUCGUAACUUCAGUGUUCGAAAUAAAUUCCCGCUUACAUUCUGAAAUCCGCACAAUCAAUCUAGCUAUAAGAGGUGUUAGGUUUUUGUUAAACUCAAACAAUAGAUUCUGUGAUAAAAAAGAAAAGAAAAAAAAAAUGAACGAAUCGAGCCCGAAUAAUCUAAUUUCACGUUUCAACUAGGGAUGUCAAUAGGUACGGAUACCCGAAAUUUUAUCCGAAUCUAAAUCCGAACGGAACGAAUUUAUCCGAUGCUAAAUGGAUAUGGAUAUCAAAAAUAAAAUCCGAUAGAUAUGGAUAUGGAUAUGGAUUUUGACUAUACCUGAUCUGAAUCCGAACCCGACCUGAAUCCGAAUUUAUUUUACAUUAUAUAUAAUAUGUAUAUGAAAAUUUGAUAUUAUAUUUAAAUUUAUAUUUUAAAAUUUUAAAUUUAAUAUAAUAUAUUUUGAAAUAUUGAAAAGAGAAUAAUUAUUUCGGAUUCAUAUUUACGGAUUCGGGUUCAGGUUCGGGCUUCGGGUUUUUGGUUGGUUCGGAUUUGGAUAUAGAUUUUUAAAAUUCGUUAGGUUCAGAUUCGAGUUUGGGUUCGAAUUUCGAAUUUGAAGUCGGGUUAGGAUUCGAAUUUUUAAAAAUCCGUCCCAAAUUUGACCCGACAUCCCUAAUUUCAACUUAAUUAAAUCCCAAUUCAACUACAUUUUUUAUUUUUAUAUACGCGUUAUCUUUUAUUUUUUAUCAUUAGAAUAAGGAUUGGAUAAGCAUUCACCGCACACCACCCGUCCCCACGCCAUUUGGAUGAUACGGAAUCAUAGUCGCCACCGAUUCUUCUGAGUCGCUGUCUCACUCUUAUCCAUCCGUCAGAUUCUUUUUUUUUUUUUUUUUUUUUUUUUUUUUUUUUUUGGUUAUCUAUUCUCCAAAGUAAGCUUAUUUCUAAGGCUAAAUUACACUUUGAUCCUCAAACUAUAAAUUACUUGACAUUUUGGUCAAGUAUUCUGAAUUAUUGUAAUUAUGUCUCGUAAUUAAAUUUAGUUGACUAGAUAUUAGUAUGCCACUAAUAUAAUAGUUAUGUAGCAGUGUUGUGGUGGAUGAUAAGAUAGUAAUUAAGAUGUCACAUUAUUUACAUCAGUGAUGCAUCAAUAUUUAAUCAAUUAAAUUAGAUUGUGGACAUCAGCGAUGCGUCAAUAUUUAAUUAAUUAAAUUAGAUUGUGGGACUUGAUCGUAAUAGUUCGUAAAGUUCGAGUCUGAAGAUAUAACAUUAGAGAAACAAAAAUGUUGCACAUAGUUUGAGAGAAAAAAAGUGCAGUUUAGUCUAUAUCUGAUAGAACAAUACUAUUUAUGCACCAAUAUGGGGGGCGUAAAUCAUAUACCUCAUAGGACUUUUUAGCUCAUAUUCCACUUGUCCCGUCAAGUUUGUUUAAACUAAAUUUUUUUAAAAAAAUUUAUCAAUCUUUAGAUCUUAAGAUGUAAGAUUUAUGUCCCCUACAAAGGGUGUACAAAUAGCAUUUUUGUUUCUAAAGAUGUGUUUAGGUUCGAAGUUUUACCGGUAUUCACAAAAUGUGGUUUUUUUUAUGAUAUUAUACGUCUAAAUUUAUACAAAUAUGGAGGCUCGUAAUUUGAUAUGGGCCAAGAGACACCUUAUUAUAAGAUAAACUAUACGAAGAUAUUUUAAUUAUAAUCUAUUUAAAUAACAAACACAAUAUAGAGUAGUUUAGAAAGUGUAGGUUUUUUAUAUUUAUAAGAUCGAGAGUUCAAACCCCAGAAUGAUGAAGAGCCUCUCAACUUAAAGUUAUAUUGAAUUUGAUCAAACUACAUUAUUUUCUAGUUUCAUUUAUUUUGAUUUCAGUUAGUCUAGUCCAUCAAAUUGUAAAUUUUGUUAAAUCUAAUAAUUUCUUAAUCUAUAAUAAGUCUUUAAUUAUUUCUGCACUACCUUUUAGCCAAAAAAGCAAUCAAAAUAGUUAAAUUUAACAAAAUCACUACUUAAUUUAACAAAUUAAAAUAAAAAAGCCAAUUUGCAUAAAAAUUCACUAGUUUUGCGAUUUUUCAAAAGUAGGCUACUAUUUUGAAUUUUAGAUAUUCGGACCGGAUUUUCAAUAAACCGGCCAAAGUAUCCUUANUUUUUUUUUUUUUUUUUUUUUUUUUUUUUUUUUUUCCUUCUUGUUGGCUUAAAUGGACCAGCAUUCUGCCCUAUGACGGGAGGCCAUGUUGGGCCGAGUCAUGUUCGAAAUGGCGUGAGGCUGAGUGGGCCCAGUUAUGUUCGAAGUGGCGUGAGGCUGGUUGGGCUGAGUCACAAUCGAGACCCGUGAGCGCUGUAUCUGUACGCUUUAAGUAAAUUGGUUGCGUAUUUCUAACAGCUCGAGCUUUUGGAAUUAAUGGUUAGCACUAACGACCAACAAGUGAUAUCAGAGCCAGAGAUCACGGGUUCGAUUCCCGUAUGCUGCAAAUAUGUGUAGGUACUGAAGGGGAGAUUGUUGGCUUAAAUGGGCCAGCAUUCUAUCCUGUGGCGGGAGGUCAUGUUGGGCCGAGUCAUGUUCGAAAUGGCGUGAGGUUGGGUUGGCCGAGUCAUGUUCGAAGUGGCGUGAGGCUGGUUGGGCCGAGUCACAAUCGAGAUCCGUCGGCGCUGUAUCUGUACGCUUUAAGUGAAAUGGUUGCGUAUUUCUAACAGCUCGAGCUUUUGGAAUUAUGGUUAGCAUCAAUGAUCCGACACUUCUUUUUUUUUUUCUCCGACCUUUAUCGCCUCCUUCACCACCUCCGUGGCCUCGGCGACGAUAAUGAGGAUAGCGCUACCCUCUCUUCUUUCAUCUCUUCCCUCCACUAGCGCCGGCGGCCCUCGGCGACGGUAACGAGGGCGGUGCCAUUUUCUCUUCCUCUGUCUUCGUCUCCGCCUACGGCGCCUUCGCCGGAGAAGAAAAAGGAGAACUCGGAGAGAGCCUGAGUAAGGGCGAAGCGAACAGAGGCGAUGAGGUUAUUGCCGAAGAGGUGCUCGCCACCCGUAAGGGUGAGGAAAAAAGAUAUGCUUAUCUCUAAGGAGCAAACGAAAAUACAAAGAUUAAAAAAAAAGAAUACAAAGGAAAAAAAAUAAAGAAAAUUUUUUUUCUUUGAAAGACCAUUGUAUAUCGUUGUUGUUACUAAAAAAUUUAAGAAUCAGAGGAAAAGAAAGAAGAAGAUGAAUGUUGCACUAUUAAAAUAAAAUUGUUCUGUUUUAUAAGAAAAUUGCACUGUAUAAUAUGAACGUUAUACUCUUUGGCAUGAAAAUUACACUCUUUAAAAUAAAAGUUGCACUCUUUCGACAAAAAUUACACUAUUUUAGAAAAAAUUGCACUUCUCUCCGACCCUCAUCCCCUCUUCUUCUUCUUCUUCCUCUUUCCUUGACCCCUUUCCUCCUUCCCCCUCUGAUCCCUAUCGUCACCAACGCAAGCCUCUCUAUCCCGCGUGCAACAUUGGAGUGCUGUAACAUAAAAACGAUCUCAUCGCCUUCGUCCGCCUUUUCCUCACUCGGGCCUUCUCCGAGUUCUCCUUCUCCUUCUCCGGCGCUGGCGAAGGCGGAGGUGGAGGCGGAGGCAGCACCGCGCUUGUUACCGUCACUGAGGGCCGUCGGCGGCGGCAGAGAAGGAGAUGGAGAAAGCAAGAUAGAGGAAAUAGAGGUAGUGCCGCCGUUGUUACCGUUACCGAGAGCUGUGGAGGCGGUGGAGAAAGUGGUAAGGGUCGAAGAGAAAAAAAAAAAAAAAGAACGAAGGAAAACAAAAGAAGAGAGAGAGGUAGCUCGUUUCCGUGUUUUGGCACUCUGAUUAAACGCCCGGGGUAGAAAGGCUCGCAUGGUAGGGUUGGAGAUCGGAGGCAGAGGGUAAGGAGGGGGGUCAAGGGAAUAGAAGGAAAAAGAAGAAGAUGAUGCGAUGAGGGUCGGAUAAUAGUGAAAUUUUUUUCGAAAUAGUAUAAUUUUUAUUGAAAGAGUGCAACUUUUACUUUAAAGAGUGCAAUUUUUAUCUAAAAAAUCGUAACGUUCAUAUUAAAUAGUACAAUUUUUAUAUUAAACAAUGUAAUUUUCUCCAAAAAAAUUAGUAAAAUGAAUAAUAAAAAGAGAAAAAUGAAACAACAGGAUACUAACUUGAUACACUUUAAACCAUAGAGUACUAAAGUGAGAAAAUGCGAAACCACAGGGGCAAACUUGAUACACUUUAAACCACAUGAUACUAAAGUGAGAAAGUGUGAAACCACAAAGGAGUAUUUGAAGUUUACCUUAAUAAUAAAAAUAAAACUGGAAAUUUGGGAAAAAUAAAAAAAUAAAAAAUUGUGUCAUGAGACACAUACAGAUACAAUUAAACGUCACAAAUUUCAUAUCGUUUUAGCUAAUAAAAAAAAAGUAUUUCUAAUAUUGUGUGCUUCCGCUGUUAAGCUAAUAGUAUUUAGAUAAUAUUUUAUUAAAUAAUACUAUCUAGUUCAGUAAGAUAAAAUAGACUCUAAAAUAAAGCUUCCUUAAAACUCGGGCUAAACAUAUAUCCAUACAUAAUCAACAAAAUUUAGCCUCUUCAUUACUGUUUUAAGUAAACCAUUAAGAAUUUGCAUUCAUGGAAAAUCAGCAAGGUGGUUUAGAGACUUCGUUAAGGGACAAUUUUGUUUACUUGUAGUUGAAAUUAAAUUAUAGUUUUUUUUUUUGUUAUGAAAGAGAUAGCACUUUAUCAGCUUCAUUUAUUGGAAAAAUGAACUAGACUACAGGGGUGAGAUAGGUAGGGCCUCGAGGAAAAAAAAAAAAAAAAAAAUCAACUACUUUCUACAGUUAUAUAUUAUAGAUUACAUACAGUUGGGUUGCUACAGAUAGAGAGAGAGUGAGAGCAGCAUAACAAAUCACGCUUCCAGCGUGAAGAUGACACAUGCAAUGUGCAUGAUGCAUGCAUUAGCUUUUUCCUUUUUACAUAUAUUAUUACUAUUUUAAGUUAAAUAAAGGAGAAGAUUUUUUUAGGAAAAAUGUAUGAGACCCCCCCUCAACUAUAGAUCUUUGGCUAAAAAUCAACUACUUUUUUUCGAUUGAGAUCAACUCAAUUUCUUUUUUUUUUUUUAAAAAUUUUGAUUUUUUAUAUUUAACUAAGUUGAAAUUUUUAUGAAAUAUAAUAACUCUAUUAGUUAUUAGCCAUAUAAUUAAGCUACCAACCGUUUUUAGUUCAGAAUGGAGAGAGCUUGAUGGUAUCUUUCUCCGAAAGAAAAAUCUAUAUAAUUAAACUAAUUUUAUAUACUAAAAAAUUAUGAGUAUUAAUAUUUAUAAAAUUAUUAAUAAUUUUAAUAAAAUUUUUAAAUAUUUUGGCAAAAAAUUAUUUAGUUUGAAAUAAUUUAGAAAUUGAGGGGUCGUAGUUAAAAAUAAAAGGUAAAAAUCUAUAGAACUUAUACGGACUAUAUAGGCUAUUUUGAUUUGACUAUUUAAUUUUAUAAAAUUUUAAUUUUACUAUCCAACUUUUCAAUUUGUUUAAUUUAAACUAGUAAAUGACAUUUUAACUUUAAAAUUUAAAUGUGCUGUUUAUUUUUAUAAAUUUAGUUAUUAUAUUUUUAUAUAGUUCUCGAAACUAUAAAUUAAUUAAAAUAACUAAUUUAUUUAAAAUUUAAAAUUAAAAUAUUAUUAAAUAAUUUAAAUUAAAUAAAUUUAAAAAUUAGAUAGUAAAAUUAUUUUUUUAAAAUUAGAUAGCUGAUUCACAGUAAUCUAUAGUUUAUAUAAAUUUUGUGUUUUUUUAUCCACAAAAAAAAAAAGAAAGAAAAGAAAAAGUUGAGUGAGCUGUUUCAGAAUAGUUUACAGUUGAGGGGUUUCUGUACAAAUGUACCAAAACUUUUUUCCUUAACAAGUAUAGAGAGUAAUAAUAAGAGAGAGAUUGAGACAUGGGACCCACCACCAUACCCCCUCCCACCGACAAAUAAUAAUAACGCUCUCCAAACCCCGACUCCUCCUCGUCUCUCUCUCUCUCUCUCUCCCCCCUCCUCCUCUUUGGUAAAACCCUCUCUUUUACCCCAAUCUCGCAGCAAAUCAAAUGCUCCCCACUCCUCUCGAUCCCUAGGGUUUAGGGUUUCCACCUCGCCACCUCUUCUCCCCCUUCCCCAAAGUCGAUCCGAAGCCAUGGCGUCGUCGUCCUCGCCGCCGCCGUCGUUGUCGUCGUCGUCGUCGUCGUCGUCGGGGUUCUUCGCGAUAUGCGUGCUGCACGCGGCGGUGGCGGCGGCGUGCGGGGCGCUGAUGAUGUUCUACGUGGACGAGGCGGCGGCGUUCGGGCACGGGCGCGAGGCGGCGCGGCGGCUCCGGGGCUCGACGCCGCGCGACCGGCUCCUGAUCGAGACCUCCGACUCGUUCGCGGGGCUCCUCCUCUUCGCCAUCGGGCUCCUCCUCUUCAUGGUCGCCUUCGUCCGCGACCGCGAGUUCCAGGCCUUCUUCGCCAAGGGCUGCGUCCUCCUCCACGCCGCCGUCGCCCUCUGGCGCCUCCUCUUCGAGCGCCGCCUCGACGACCUCGCCCGCGACCUCCCCCGCCAGCUCGUCGGCGACCUCGUCCUCGGCCUCUCAUGGAUCCUCUUCCUCAUCUACUCCUGGCGCGAGAAGUACGACUGAUCCCCUAAUUCUCUCCCCCACCCCCAUCACCCCGUCGCGGCCACCGCCGCCGCCGUAGGUAUGAUCCUACUUGUAAAGCUUUCUCCCUUUCUUUUUUCCUUUUUUUUUUUUUACCCGUCAAUUAUCGCCCGUAAAAGUUAAGGAGAAUGAGGUUUAUGAGCUCCUGAUGCUGUAUCUUUCACCCAAAAAAAAAAAAAGAAAAAAGAGAGCUUUUUUUAAUAUCAAAUGGUAGUUGGAUGGUUUGUUUUAUUUUAUUGAGUACUCUUGAUUAAUUGGUGGAGUUUUGGUUUGGGAAAAGUGCGUCUGAUGAUAUGUAAGUAUGUGAAUUAAGUGCUAUAGCGAAAUUUUAUGAUGUAUUAUCAUCUCCCAUAAGCCAAUUGGCAACUGAUUAUGCGUGUACUUGUAGGAGUUGAAUUACUUGGCAAAUUGAUUCGAUUUUAAUGUUAUUUUGAUUGCGGAGGAUCAUUUUCUUCUGCAUUUUGUUGUCUCCGACAGAAACUGACGGAAAUUGAUGAAUUUUUUAAGUAAUCCUUUUCUCGUUUUUAGAUGUGAAAACUCAAUUUUGAUGGUUACUGAUCUUUCUAGAAAAUCGCUUUAGAAGCUACCAGUUGGUAUACAUGGAUAUCAGAACAAAAAGAAACUUCAUGUAUGCACUGUGAACAGUUAAUACAUCUCUGUUGUAAUUUGUAGCCUGAUCAACCAAUCAAUAAGGAUAUUUGCUAGUUUGAAACUUUCCAUAGUGCCUGUAACAGUUCUACUGACAUUUAACAACUAAACGACAAGUAAAACUUAUGAAUUACAAGAACCUCUUGACCAGGAAUCUGGAUUUUGCAGUUCCAACGCAAACUCCUUAUGCUGAUACAACAUUUUGCCCUGUUUUUUUAGAAACAUGUAACAGUGAAAUUCGUUUCUCUUUUUGGAGGGUCUAUUGUUUAAUAAGCAAUUAGUUUGUGUAAAAGAGUUCUCUCUUCUAAGAUACAAGAGACCAAACAAUUGAUAUUUUGCAACUCCCAUAGCAAGAGAAUCUGUGUAUCUGUUAUCUAGAUGGAUUAUAAAGUACUCAUCUUUACGUACGUAUGCCCUUUUCACUAUAUCCUGUGCCUUUUAAAAGUGAAAUCUACUCUUCAUAGUUGAUAUCGGUCUUCUGCACAUUUUCUCUUUCUAGAAAUAGCAGCAUGACAGCUAGCAUUGUGCUUUGGCAAGUUAACAACACUUGCGGCAGUUUCUCUGAGAUUCGUUGAUUUUCCUCGUGCUGUUGGUUGUGUGAUAACUCAAGGUUAAGAAAAGCAUCGAAAAGUGAUAGUCUUUAAUGACUGAUUCUCUAUCUGAUGUGAGCAUACUAUCAAUUGCUCCCUAGAUCCUGGGCUAAGGCUUGUGUUGGAGCCAUUGAAGUAUAGAUGAGACAAUCAGAAUGCUUUUAAAACCCGAGGAUUGAUGUUUUGCCAUGGCUUCAAGCUUUCUAGUGUUUGUUGAAAUCUCUUUCAUUUCUAUGUACUUCUAGAUACUCACAUUGAUAUCAUGUAUUUAAGACUGAUUUACAUUAAAAUUUUAAUAAUGAAACUUGUAGAGCCAUUAUUGAAAGUUAUGGAUUGUUUUAUUAGAAAUACAUUGUUUUAGCAUUCUUUGGCUAUACCUAAAAAGGAAGAUUUAGAUUGCAAUGGAGUUUUCCUUACCAUACAUGACGAAAUUAUUGAAAUGUCACAAUUUUAUUAUGUGUACUUUUUUCACUGUGUCCUCUCUUCUCCAUCUCUAAUUCCUUUCUCUUUCGACUUCUACGUGCAUUAGAGAGAUUAUUUCUUUUCUUUCAAAUCUCAUAUGAGUUUCUGGUCGGUCCAAAAUAACUUGUCAAUCUUCUGUUGCGCCUACAUGCAAAAUCUCAUAUUGAGCAUGGCUUCCAAUUGUUUUGUUAAUUUUAUUUUUCCUACGAAAGCAGAAGCAUGGUUAUCAAAUACCUUUAACUAAUAUCAGUUGCUUGUUGUCAGUAUUCUUUCUGUAUAUACUGUUUGGGAGAACUUUUAAUACCCCUUGAGUUAUAGCUUUAUUUCAUUAUAAUGCACCGUGUUUCAGAUUGUAGCACUCUAAUAUGGGGUCUAUGGAGUUUUUCCUCUCAUCUUUUUGUCUAAGAUAUGGUUUUCAGAGAAUGGAAUGAUUUACCUUGCGAAUUAUUAGUGAAAUACUAGAUCUGAAAGAGUAGCAUUAGCAAUCAACAUUAUAAUGUUGAAAUUUGUUUGUCGAUGCAUUGUGAACUUCAGCUUUUAUUUGUCAGUUGUUUCAAUUAGCAUGCGAUUAUCUAUAGCUAGACUAGCAAAAUAUUACCAGAGGAAAAAUGCGUUCUAACGAUAUCUGCGGUAUACUUUCGUCAUAAUUUUACACAUGUUCUGUUCUUCGAUUUCAUUAGUGUUUGCUGUACAUUUGAGCAUCAGAGUCCCCACUGUCUUUUGUGAUUGUUUAAGUUAAAUCCUUUCCCUAAUCUUGAAGUCAUUCUGCUUUUCUCGUCUAGUUAACGAAUAAUUAAAAGUUGAACUUCGUUCGGAAAUAUUAAUAUUUCUACGCAUGUUCGUAAUGUGUACGUUCACAGAACUGUUACAUGGAUUUUAAGAAUAAUUUGUCGGUAAGAGUAUCCUUUUUUGGAUGGAGGUAAAAUUAACACAUGUCAGUGGAUCGAAGGCUCUCUAAUAAGGUGUCUUUUGGGAGCUUCUUUCUAUAGUUUUAUCCCUUUCAUAUAUAACUGUUACUCUGCUGUUCUUUUUUCAAAAUUAGUUAUGACCUGCAUUCACCCAGGCAAAGUCACAUUGGCAGUUUUUUUUUUUUUUUUUUUUUUUUUUUUUUUUUUUUUUUUUUGUGUGUGUCCAUGCAUAAUAAUGCAUCUUGUGGGGCUCCUUUUCUCGAGGAAUUCUACACUGUCAUAUUUGCACCACGUCAUCAAUAGUAAAUUAAUUAUAUAUUUUUUUUCAAACAAAAGUAUAAUAAAAAUAUUUUUUUAUAAUUAUGAUGGAACAUAUACUUUUAAAAAAAGAUAAUUUAUUGAUUUUGUUACGCUACGUUUAUCAAUAUAACCAUUGUAUUCUAAAAUUUUUUUCUUUUCUCGUACCAAAAGCUGAGUAGGAUAGUAAACAAUGUGCUGGACAUGUGAUGGAGACGUGCUCGAAUAGUGUCCUGUGUCCUGUGUCCUGUAGGAAAGCCACGUGGCAUCAACAUUCGAUGGUACGUGUCUGUUUGGAUACCUUAUAAUAAUUUUCAUUUUGUUACGGAGAAAUAAUUGUAUAAUACUACGGUAUAUGUUUGGUAAUCUAAGGUUUGAGCUCUUUUUCUAACCACAAAUUUACAGGAUUUUUGAGAUAUUUUUGUUGUUUUUUAUAUGCAUCUAACUAUCUGUUUGUAAGUAUAUAAACACUGUUUUUGAUAAUACCUAAAAAUAUUUUUAAUACAACAAAAUUAGAGUGUAUCUUAGCAGGCCAGCUACUUAAACUGCGAAUUCUCGAGCAAUAUUAUUUCAUAAAUCUGCAAAGAUUCUCUAUUUUUUCGUAUUUUUUAAAUUUCUGCAGUAAAUAGUAUAGGAGUAGGGAACCAUCAUACUUUUUUCCAAAGGGAAAAAAAAAUAAAAUAAAAAUAAAGGGACUCAGUUUAAUCGACGGUUCUGCAGAAGAGGCCGUUUCGAAAAAUAUUAUUUGCAGGUGCUGAAACAUACUCUGCAACUGGGUUUCCAUACUUGAACCUUUUUAUAAAACGAUUAAUUCAUUCUAUUUAAGCCGGAUUAGAGAGAGAAAUUUUACAAUAAAAUUUAACCGGGGUUAGAUAUUUUUAGCAACUAGAGAUUGGGCGCGCCGUCUAUGAAAGUUCUAAUUCCCCAGGUUGGUAAAUAGGAGAGCAAAUUACAUCAUUAUUAACCAAAAUUUUCACCAGACCUCGAUAGAUUUUUGCACUCCAAUUUUCUAGAAUUGGGUAGAGCUCAAUCUUCAUUUUUUAUACUUAGAUUAUAUAUGAUUCUUUCUAAUGUAGAAAUUACAUGACGGUUGAUUUAGCUGUCGCAUCAUCUUUCAGAGAUAUAGCUACUAGUCAAAUUAAUUCAUGCUCACCGCUAAGUUAUUGACUGAAUUAGCUUAUUUCCCACAGAUUAUCAUAUAAUCUGUAAUAAAAAAUUUAACAAUACCGACUGUUCCUAGAGCAAGUGGCAAAGGGCUUGGUGGUUGGUACUCGAGACCCAAGUUCGAGUUCCAGUUGAAUCACAUUUCCAAUUAAGUUUAUUUCUAAAUGAAAUAAACGAAGCGGGUAGCGUGCUAUCUAUUUCUCAAAAAAAAAAAAAAAAUUUAACAAUUGAAUCAAUUACCGCUACAUUUCUCUAUUACUCGAAAAGAAAAAUAUUUUGCUUACAAAUGAAUUUCACAAUAAUUCACAAAUUCUACAGCUUAAUAGAUGGAUUUCAAUUUUGGUAUUAAAAAUCAUGCUUGCCUCCACGUAAUUUAUACUUUACCACUAAUUAAACAUCGCAACUUAUGCUAAUUUGUAAGGUAUUGUAUUUUUUUUUUUUUUUUGUAAAUAUAUCAAUACUCAAUAGAAAAAUUAAGGGAUCAGGCAAAGUAGCUCGAUUAAUAUUUAAAAAAAUGGGCCUGGUGAUUCUUAUUGUAACAAAUUAAACUCCAGCAACAUCAAUACCUACCUAUACAUUAUAUCUCUUGGUGUUUGCCAGGUGGCAAUUUCUCCUUCACCCCUCAUUUUCACUCCAAAAUUUUUACUCUCUAAUCAUUGCUUUUAUGUAACGUCGCUUCCAUGUAACGUCUGCCUCUUCGGCUUUCCAUCUCAUUAAUUCAUUUCCUGUAAUGUCUGCCUCUUCGGUUUUCUGUCUUAUUAAUUCAUUUUCCGUAACGUAUGUCUCUUCGGCUUCCCAUCUCAUUAAUUUCUUUUCUAUAACGUCACUGCUUCGACUUUCCCCUCAUUAGUUUCUAUUUUCUAAGAGGCGUUGCCCGAGAAGCCCGUGGGCACGGCAUAUGACGUCCUCGACAACGACCUCGCCUACUGCAUCCGCUCUAAUCUCAAGCCCCACCGGCGUGCCGCCCUCGCUCUUGCCGUCAAUGUCGAGUGAGUCAAAUUCUAACCCUAGCCUCGAACCUUCCUCCCUCGAUCUCGACCACUUAAAUUUGUAAUGUAUAGUUAUAGUGUGUAUCUCUCUCCUCUAAUGGUCUCGGAGGACGCAAAGUAUCGGCUAAGAUAUAGACUUGCCGAAAAGUGGUUGAAGGCGCUGUGAUACUUUACGAAAUUGUCGGUGUUAGCAGAGAAUGCCCUAAAGGAGGAUACAAAGGGAUCCGAUUUCUAUAUAACAAAUUUUUUUCUCCUAUAAUUUUUUUUUUAUCCUUCGUUGUUUUUCAUUGAAUUAUAAUUUUAUUCUAAAAAUUUUAAAGUAUUUUUUAUAUUAUUAAAUUUAAUCAAAUAUAAUUAUAUCCGUCGCAUCGCGCGGGUUCCUACACUAGUGAGAAAAAAUGUUGGAAUAAUAUUGGUGAUCAUCACCCAACUGGUAAUCUAGUGACCGAGUACAAGCCUAUGAAUGCCCUCAAAUAGAAGUCUCCAUUUUUAUUUUAAUCUAAAUUAUACUAUCACAUCACUUCUACAUUAUUAACAUAAAAAUAUUAAAUAAAAUAAAUUAUUAUUAUAAAAUAUAAUUAUAAUACUUUAUAAAAUUUUCGCCAACAAUUUUCAUAAAUUAAAAUUUAAGGACCAAAAAUGUAACAUACAAAUCAAAGUAUCCCGCACUCUUAUUGAGGAGUUCUUAAUUCACUACCACGCACUAGUUUUGCUUCUAUCCAAAAAUUAUAAUCCUCCUCUCAAAUUUUUUUUUUUUAAAAUUCUAAUAUUAUAAAAUAUCUAACAAAUUUUUAAAAAAAAAUAAAAUUGACACGUGACAGUCAAUAGAGGGCUCCUAACCCGUAGGGAUGCAAAUGGUUCCAGGUUACUGGAGUUCCCCGUUUUGAAUGAGGCGGUAGGUGGGAACAAAAAAUGUAAAAAUAAUAAUCCGCUCCCAAUCCGCAUUGAUCCGCCAAAUAAAUGGAGCGAGAGACGGGAUACAUUUUUCUUCCUUUAAUCCGUUCCGAUCCGUAAAAAAUCAGCCAAAAAUUCACCCCGGUCCGAUUUAUCCCUAAUGAGACGAUAAAUGGGAACCAAAAAUAAAAUAAAAAAUAACCCGUCUCAAAUUCGUCCCGCACCAACAAGAAAUGAAGAGGAAGCUGGGAAACCUUCUGGCCUCCGGAUCUGUCCCGUUUGCAUCCCUACUAACCAGGCUUUGUCAAGGGAGCUCUCGACGAAAGUUUUAUAAAUUAUAAAAACUUAAUAAAAAGUUUUAAAAAUAUUAAUGAUUUUGUAAAAAUUAUCAUUUAAAAAAAAAAAAAUUGAAGGCUUUCAUUUCAAAAUUACCUGCAGAGCAGUCUUCUUUCCGCUGCGCCGGACCCGAAAACCCUAAAACAAGAAAAGUCGGCAGGAGUUGAGUGCAGAAAGUGCUGCGAUUGGGAGGGAAAAAGAAGGAAGAAAGAAAGAAAGAGAGAGGAAGAGAGAGGAUGCUGCAGUUUCCGGCGUUCAUGCGGCAGUUCCCGUCGCCGCCGCUGAUCCCUUCGUCCACCCUCCUCCCUGUCUGGACCGUCGCUCAAGACGACGAGCUCCUCCUCGCCAUGGCCGAGUCCGAUCUCGAAGAGAAGGUAGAAUAAAUAUUCUUAUCUUUACAAUCCCUCCGUCCCCUUCUUGCUUGUCGCAACUCUUGCGAUCUAAAUCUCAGAUUACCUCGUCGUGAAUUCCUGCUUGUUUUGGAGCAGGAUUGUUGAGUCUAAAUAUUUUAAAAAAAAUGCACCGCUUUCUGACUGACUGACUGACUGACAGCGUAAGAAUUAUUCGACAUGGUGUCAGAGCAGAGCUUUCGAUUGUAAAUCCCAUUAGUGUUUCCGGACAUGAUAGGGUCGUUGAAUAUAAAUAGUAAAAAUACUGUUUGCUGACAACUUAAGCUUUUAGAGUUCGUUUGAGGGAGAGGUUACUAAUGAUGCCUAUAAUGAGAAUGCCUCGUAACUCAUGAUAAUCUAGUAUUUCUAGAUAUCUCUAGUCAUUUGUAAUAAUUUCGCUACUUUAUUAACGCUUUUUAUAACUAUCCAACUUCAGUUGAUUGUUUAAUUGAUUUUAAUUUUUGCGAUAGCAAAUAUGGAGGAUUACCGGAAUAUUAGAAACCAUGAACCAAACGACCGCUUCGAGGAUGAAACUGGAUGCUUGAAGCGAUUUGUGAUUUAGUUUGAAGGCGAUUAAUAUAACCAUGGAAGAUUUAAUUCGUAGAGAGAUUUAACCUGUGAUUUUUGGUGGUUCAGCCUCCUCUGCUGUGUAUAAUAACGGAGGUUAAUCCUUUACAACCGAUCACCAGGCGAUUAAUAAAUAUGCCGUCCUUCCAUCUCCAUCUCAUGUGCAUCUUGCAGUCUUCUCGCCUUUCCUCAUGCAAUCCAUCUUCUUCAAAUCAUGAGGCUUUCAAUUCAAUUUACGUGCAUCUCAGCAUGAAAAGUAGCGGGAUAGUUUUGGUUCUUUCUAGAAGAGAUUUCCUAUCAUGGAAGUAUCGUGAACAGACUGCCUAUUUAAAAUAAUUUCUCUGGAUAGAGAUCUACUACUGUAAUCCGAAAUAUGCCGCGUGUAAAAGAAGUCGAUGAUGUGGAUUCAAUCCAUGGGUUAAUAAUUAUUGUCACAAUUAUAAAACCAGCCCCUAAUAUCUAUGAUGUUUUCAACAGAUUUGCCAGCACAAAUGGCUUUUUAUGACUACGUUUAGUAGGUGACGGCUCUGUCCAUAUUGAGUUAUGCAACUGAACGUGAUUUAACUAAAAUUGAGGGAUCUCUCGUCGCCCCGCGAAUGUACUUUGAUAUGUAAUUACUUGUCGCCAUGAAAGCAAUGUAAUGUUCUUCCUAUACAAGUGGCCUCCCAUUUUUGUCUCAAAUACGUACUGCAAUCAUCGUAGUAGUUAGUACUGCCUUAUAUCACCGACUAGUCAAGCAACUAACAGAUUAAGCAUAUUUAGGUUUAGCAUAAGCAUAUUUAAGUGUAAAAGGACACUCAUUCGGAGGCCUAGGAGUUAGUGGGGAGAAGCAUUGAGGGUGUCGUCUUGGUUCCUCUGUUGAUCUUAGGGCUUAAUUCAGCUAUUAUAUUGCUUCGAUGCUAUAAUUUCUUAGAUAAUAUCAGGUAGAAGGUGGUUUGUUUUUCUGAGACAGAAAAGAAGAUGAGAAAGCUGGUUGCUUUCUUUACUCCUACUUCUCCUCUGUAGCAGACACUGACAGUGAGCUUGUCCGCAGGAUUGGAUGACUCGAUGGGAAGCUCGUGUGUUGUACAUGUUUUUCCUUCCUUUAUUUCAACCUUUAAACUUUUUGCUUUGAAGUUGCGUGGUUUAUAACAUCGCACAGAAUCCAGUGAAAACAUCUAAAUAGCCCUGUUCGUUGAUGCAUAUGUGUGGCACAUUACUUGCUCUAUAAACUUGAUGUUUUCGAGAGGAACUUGUUCGUCGUGCGGCAUUAAUUCUUUUCUUCUUUAAGCCGGUGGUUCACAAGAACCUCCAAGGAGAGAUGAGUUCUGUUGCGAAAGUGGAAUGUUUAUUUUAUUUUACUUUACUUUCUUCACUAUUGUCUUUAUUCCAAGCUAAUUUGUCUCACCUUCUUCCCGGCAUUUAUCAAUCGGAUCGUGUUUGAUGCCUGAUCUGCAGUUGAAUGAAAUCAGAAAGACCAACAGCAACUUGGUCGUGAUUGGUAAAACGGCCGUCGACUACAAGGAAGAGAUAGAUGCCGAAGCGGAAGAUGACGAUGGAGAUAAUGUGGAGGAAUCUGAGGGCGACGAGUUCGAGCAGGAGACCGGUUAAUAUAACCGCACUGUGUAAAUAAAUACAAUUUAUUCUGACAACUUAUCGAAGUUUCCUCUUCGUGCAUUUUCUUUUUCUCGAAAGAACUGCCAUUUGCUUUCUCAAACUUUGGUUGGAUAUGUUGAGUCAAAACUAGAUAAGUGAAAAUCUUAUAUCUGUGUUGUACACUGGAGUGGCCAAUCAAGAUUCAAACCUAAAUAUGCUUAUGCUGAAUUAUUUAUACUUAUGUUUUUCUCAUAGAAUCUCAAUUGGGGCCUGGGAAUUUUGGACCAGGAUCUAAGAUUUGAGAAGGGCACUUUGAGAGAUACUGGAGAGAAGAUCUAUGCAUCUUGAGAGGCAUUUUCACAUGCUCGUUGCUCUGUUUGAUUGGCAAUGUCCUAAUAUAAAAAUGAGUGUUGCUACAUAUGUCCCAAAAAAAAAACCUUACAAUACUGUUGAUGACGUGAUAUUGUUAUUAUUAUAUUCUAAAUAUUAAUUAUUAUAUAUUAAAUAUUAUUAUUAAAUCUUAAGUAUUGUUAUGUGUUAGCCAAUAUAUCAACAAUAUAAUGGGCUGUCCAAAGCAUGCAUAUAUAUAUAUAUAUAUAUAUAUAUAUAUAUAUAUAUAUAUAUAUAUAUAUAUAUAUAUAUAUAUAUAUAUAUAUAUAUAUAUAUAUAAGAGAGAGAGNCUCUCUCUCUAUAUAUAUAUAUAUAUAUAUAUAGAGUUGAGCUAGAAUACUAUCGGUAGUAAACGAGCCGUUUUACUACCGAUUUAUUUUCGAUGAUAGAACUUUCAAAUUGACGAUCGGCUCCGUUGAGCAUGAUCUAUACCACUUGAAGUAUUUAGAAAUCAAAUUUCAAAUCUUUUCGACAACAUUUGCCUAAUGAUCAAAGGGUUUCAAAAUUUGUAAUUUUAAUAGUCAAUAAUAGGCGUUUUCUCGUUUAACAGCGUAAAGAUAUUUAAAUCAAUUGAAUUUUUGUUAAAAAAUUUUUUAAACUAUUUAAAACAAGAUCUAUACUCUUGAUCUUGAUUACAAGACUCCUAUCAUCAUUUUUUAAAGAGUAUUCAUUUUUAGCCAUUUAUUUUUCUGUUCACUUGAUGGAUAAAAGAACAAUAUCGAAAGUGCGCGAAAUUUGAUAUCUAGAUAGUUUAAAUGGUUUAGAUCAUAUUUAACGGAGCCGAUCGUCAAUUUGGAAAGUCUACAUCGAAAUAAAUCAGUAGUAAAACGAUUCGUUUUACUACGAUAGUUUCUACCUCAACUCUCUCUCCUCUCUCUCUCUCUCUCUCUCACUCUCUCUCUCUAUAUAUAUAUAUAUAUAUAUUAUAUAUAUAUAUAUUUUUGCUAGAAUACUAUCGGUAGUAAACAGCUGAUUUACUACCGAUUUGUUUUUAAUGAUAGAGCUUCAAAAUUGAUGAUUGACACCGUUAAACAUGAUCUAAACUAUUUAAACUAUCUGGAAAUCAAAUUUCACACAUUUUUUGAUAUUGUUCUCUUGUCCAUCAAGUGACAGAAAUAAUAAUGGCUGGAAAUGAAAUCCUUCAAAAAAGUGUGAUGAUACAUUUUUAUAUUUGAGAUCUAGAGUCUGAUCUUAUUUUAAAUAGUUUAAAGAAUUUUUUAACAAAAAUUUAGUUGAUUGAACUCUUCUAUACCGUUAAACAAACAAACGCACCAUAUCGGCCAUUAAAAUAAUAGCUUUUGUGACCCUUUGAUCAAUUCAGUUAGUGAUGCAAAAAAUCAUAAAAUUUGAUUUCUAGAUAUUUAAAUUAGUAGAUCAUGUUCAACGGUGCGAUCAUCGAUUUGGAGCUCUAUCAUCAAAAACAAAUCGGUAGUAAACCGAGCAGUUACUACCAAUAGUAGCCCAGUCAAACUCUCUCUGCUUCUCUCUCUCUCUCUCUCUCUCUCUCUCUCUCUUCUCUCUCUCUCUCUUCUUCUCUCUAUUUAUAUAUAUAUAUAUUAUAUAUAUAUAUAUUAUAAUAUAUGUAGCCAGGACAUGCUGUGCUCUCAGGAGCACGGAGGCCUCCGUGCUCCUGAGCCGUUUUCGAUGAUGGAAUUUUCGAAUCGACGAUCGGCUCCGUUAGACUUGAUCUAAGGUAUUUGAAGUUUCUAGAAAAUAAUUUUUGCGAUUUUUUGAUAUCAUUUACCUAGUGAUCGAAAGGAUUCAAAAUCAAUAAUUUUUAAUGGUUGAUAUCUACCAUUUUCAAGUUUAACGGUGUAGAAGUAUUCAAAUCGGAAGCACCAACUACUUUAUGCUUCCGAUAGCAUAGUAGCUCUACACUAUAUAUAUAUAUAUAUAUAUAUAAUUGAGCUAGAAUACUUUUAGAAGUAUCAUCCCUUUUUUACUUCUAGAUUUCUAGUUUUUUUUUUUACUUUUAAGUUUCUAGCCCUUAGGUCUACUCCUUAAUUACUAAUAGCCCUUGGAUCAAAUACUAUUCCACCUAUCACCAUCUACCACCAUUAUCCCAACUUUACAUUUCUCCAUCCAAGAGUUAAAAAUACAAAAGCACCAACCUCUUGGUGCUUUUGAGAGUAUUCUAGCUCAACUCUCUCUCUCUCUCUCUGUAUAUAUAUAUAUAUUAUAAAAUUGGUUGUCGACCUACUCCAAGACCUAAUCAGUUUUUUAUUAAGAUUGGCUCCAAUGUUUCGGCAUGUAAUUGGGUUGAACUCUCUAGCCACAGCAAUUUAACAAUAGCUUGAGACCAAAGAUUCUCUCUUCUCCCUUUUUUUUUUUUUUUUUUUUUUUUUUUUUUUUUUCUCUAUUAGAAGAAGGACAGUUCUUCUCUUUAAGCCAUUUUGUUUCAUCAAAAGUGAAAAAGAGCGAAAGAAUUUUGAGGGUAAAUAUUCACACUUUUGAUAUUUAAUUCGCCACAAAUUAAAUUGACUUUGCUGUGACCAGUGGCACACCAUUUACGAAAAAAUAAAAUAUUAAAAAGAUAAAACAAAUUAGUUGCUAUAAUUUUUUUAAUUUUGUGUUAAUGUGACAACUUUCAGUAAAACAAACCAAAAAAAGAUAGAACUUCAAUUUCCGAAUUACACACUUUUCAUCAAAUGAACAGCGAUGGAAAGAUAAUUUUUACCUGAAAUUUAAUUCAACUAAAAGUUUUCUUUAAUUUGAAAAACAAAGGAAUAUGCCCCAAAAAGCAGAUGCUCUGUCCUACAUGUUUAAUCAUGGUGGAUCAUCCAGGCCUACACGCCAGCUAGUAGUUGAACCAGCACCGGAAUCCAAUGUUCCGUCACAGGCCCACAUCAUCGUGCGAUUACCGAUUAGAGCCUUCUCAUUUUCUUUCCUUUUACUUUUCUCGUCCCUUCUUUCCCCCCCUAAUUAAUUGCCAUUAUACUCGCUAUAGGAGGCCUAACCUUCCCAUAAAACUUCAGUGGGAAACUCUUUUGUUAUUUUGGUGUUAAUCUGAGAAUUUUUCGAGUAUUCUUUAAUCUAAAAUUUCAAAAAUAAAAUUGACGCAUAACAGCCAAUCUAAUGCUAUUCAAUAAAAUGUUCUUUUAAAAAUUUCCCACUAAAAUUUUAUCCCCUUCCUCUCUCGUCAGGUCACCUGAAGGAAGACAAUUUGAUAAACCAUAUUAUUCAUUUAGGAACUGCUCCGCACCGGACUUUCACUAAGACAAUUUGAUAAACCAUAUUAUUCAUCCUGCUUCUGAAUUUUAAGAGUCUUUUUCAAACUAGAAGUUCUCAUGGGAAUCUUUAAUACUAUAUUAAGCUGCUAAUAUAAAGUAAGUCUAAUAAGAUUGAACAAGAAGCUCCUAGUACAAAUUUUUGGUUAGAAUUGCAAAAAUUUUUGUGUAGCUUUAUUAUAUAAAAUUGUUCUGUCACUAUCACUGCCACCACCGCAGUUAGCGCACUGCCACCACAGUGGUCGGCGCAACCGAAAAAAUCGCCUCACGUCUCUUGUAGGGCGCAAGAGCUGGGUUCAAUCUUUGGUUAUGGCUUUGGCCCACGUCGUUGUUGCCACAACCCUAUCGCAAGACCCCACUUGACGCAGCGACAAGGUUGUUAGGCGGUGUGCGCCAUCAAUAUAUAGAUGUUAUAUUUUACACACUUUUUUUUUCAAAAAAAAAAAAAAAAAAUAAAGAAGAAAAAAAAAAGAAUAUCGAAAAUUAAAUUUCUAAAUGAUUGUUUUUUGCCAUUUAAAAUAGUGUGAGUUCGAUAAAUUUGAGUGAAAAAUGUGUUUACAAAAUUAGCAGUAGUGCUAAGUAUGGAAAGGUCUCAUUUCCUCUUUUCCCGGUGGAGGAAAAAUUCAUCCAAACCGGGUAAAGAGUGAAAACUAAGUUAAAAAAGAAAAGAAGUAGAAAUAAAAUCAAAUGAAUUUUAUGAGUAAAUUAAUUGCUUUUAAAGAAUUUAGUGUAUUAAUAUAUUAAUUAAUGUUGUGGUUCAUUUUGGUUAUGUAAAUUAAUUUAAAUUUAUGAGUACGAUUUUUUAAUUGGUGUCCAAAACCACAAAGUCCCCGUUACCGCGUUCUCCUGGGUGAUUGUUCCCAUCGCCAUUAAUGAACCUGCGGAGCACAAAGGGAAACAAUGUUAGUGAAAACGAAAUCAGUACCCCAAAGGCCCAAAAAAAAAAAAAAGGAAAAAAAAAAGACAUUAAUGGCACGGAAUAUAACGCACCAACCGUACGAACGAAUAAAAACACACGACACACAUAACGGACGGAACGGGGCGAGGCAAACGGAAAAGAUAACGGAACCCUGACGGGAUGUCGAACGGAAACAAUGAACGGGGGAUAUGGUCCAACAAAAGAACACAAGGAAAGGCCACAACGAAGAGACGACGACGAGGAAGAAGUAGUAGUAAUCAAACUCUUUUUUUUUGCCAUUUUUUAUUAUUAUUUUUUGAAGCUUUUUUUUUUGGGUCCUUAAUAAUAUUUGUCCCCGUUGUAUUAAGAAAGAACACGUUACAAUCUCCCUCAGUGUUCAUUCGCAGCAAAAGCCUCCGAUCCCGUUUCGUGCUCCGUUCCGUUAUGGGUUUUCUCUGUUACCUCGAUUAUGAAGUUGUUUUUCCCGUUCGGCUCGAGAAGGGGGAGGAGGAGGUGGCGGUGGGCGGAGAUUCACUGCCAAUGGCUCCCGUGGUGGACGAGGAACUCGCCGCCGUGCCCGCCGACGGCGGUGGCGGCGCCAUGGCGGAGGUGGUGGCGAUGGUGGUGGUGGUGGUGGUGGUGGUGGUGGUAGCUCACGGGGUCGGGUGGAACCUCGGCGGAGCGGCGGCGGCGGCGGCGGCGGAUGGGUGGAGGAAGAAGCGGAGAUCGGCGGGGAGCGGGGCGCGCGAGGCGUGGGAGUGGAAGGAGGGGGAGAUGCUCCUCGCGGCGGCGGCGGAGCAGGAGGAGGCGGCGAUGGGGAAAGUGGAGGGGGGACUAGGGGUUUUGGUGGAGGGUUUCGGGGGCGGGGGCGGAGGGGGGAGGAGGAAGGCGCGGAUCUUGAGGGGGAGGAGGCGAUCGCGGGUCGCGAGGUCGUACUCCUCCACGAGGUUCGCGAGAUCCUCGUCGGAGGUGACGGAGACCAGCGCGUCGAGGUCCUCGGUCGGGAGCUGGCACCGCAGGUACACCUUCUCCCACCCACACAUCUCCUUCAUCUUCGCUUCUAGCUCUAUAUUCCAAAAUCCAAAAACCCACCAUCAAAUCCAAAUCCAAAACCAAACAAAACCCAAAUCAAAAUCGAAAUCAAAUCGAAAGGGGAGGGAUCGAUCGGGAACCUUGGAAGGGGAGAGAUCGGUGGACGGAGAGGACACGGGUGUCGCCGCCGACGUAGCGGAGCUUUCCGUCGGGGUAACGGGGGAGGAUGCGGCCGCCAUAGCUGCAGAGGAACUUGAUCGUCCCCGUCGCCGCGGCUGCGGAGGAGGUCUUGGCGGUGGCGGCGGCGGAGAUGUCGUCGAAGGAGCCGAACGAGGCGCACGAGGAGGACGACGACGACGAGGUCCCCACCAUGGCUUCGAAACCCUAGCAGCAGUAGUUAGAAGAAGAAGAGGAAGAAGCGUAGCGGUUUAGAAGGGGAAAGAAGAAGCUCGAAGCUUCUCGAAUGAGGAAGGAGAAGAGGGAGGAGGAGUAGCUCCGGAGGGGGCUUCAAGCCUCAUCUUGGGAACCUACACCCCUUAUUUAUACUAUGAGGGGAGGGAAGGAGAAGGGAAAGUGAGCUUCGUUAACUUCAUUAUUACAAGUUAAUUUUGAUGCUAAAUAAUAAAUAAAUAGUAUAUAAAUGCUAUUCCUCUUAAGAAAAUAAAAAAAUAUAUACAUAUAUAUAUAUUCUACUUAAUUUAAGAAAAGGCCAAAGGUUACUGAAGCUGCAUUUGGUUCGGGUAUAAAUAAGAACUGUUAGUUCUAGACAUAGGUACAAGUUCAGAUUACUUAAAUAUAAAUAAGAACUGCGUUUUGGUUCGGGUAUAAAUAAGAACUGUUAGUUCUAGACAUAGGUACAAGUUCAGGUUAUUUAAAUAUAAGUAAGAACUGCAUUUUGUAGUAUUCAAGUUACUUAAAUUAAAAAUUAUUUUACUCAUUAAAAAUGAUAAUUAAAUCACUAUAAUUUUGUAGACUAGCUAGUAAAUUUAAUGACAAAUUUUCUAAUUUAAUCGACUCAAAUUAAUCAGUUAAAAAAAAUUAAGAAGCUAAAAACAAUAUAAAUCAGCAAAAUUAAACAAAUAUUAUACUUUAAAUUGCGAUCAUAAAUAUAAUAACUUUUCAACCGUCAAUAUGAAUAGCAUUACAGAUGACUAUUAAAAAGUUGUCUUAAUUUUUAAAAUUUUCUUUCGUGAUAAAUAGCCUUAUUAGAAGUAUAUGACUAUAAUAAAAUGAUGAUUUCUUUUAUUUUAAGCUUUCACAUUGUGAUUCUAACUUGCACACUGGUUCAUUGAAUUUGGAAUUUAUUCACUUUAGUUUGGGACCAAAAAAAAUAUUCUUAGGACAUUCCUAGAAGAAACAUCCCACAAAUUUCUAAAUUUCAAAAACAGUUGUAAGUCUCCUAUUGGACCCCCUCCCUCUCCCCCUCUUGUUCUUUCGCUAUUUGACGCGGACCUAAUAAAUAAAUAUAAGUUGCUAUUUCAAUGAUUUAAUGCUAAUUUAUAUUACUUACUUCGGUAACUUAUAAUAAUCACGAAUAUUAAAGUGCUGAGAAAAAAAAAAGAAAAGAAAAGAAAAGAAAUAAGCUAUAUAGGUUAAAUAAUCCAAAAUACUUAGGCAGAGCUAAAAUAAAAUUUUUUAUCCUAGUUUUAAGAUUUCAAAACUAAGCCCUAAUUAUUAGAAAUUUAUUCUAUAACCAAAAACUCAUAAAAAUUAUUAAAAAUUUUAAAUGAAAUGAAAAAAUAAUAAUAAUUUUAAAAAUGAAAAUUAAAUUUAACUAAUCUUUCUGACCUCAUCAUUGGAAUACUUGUCGCACCACUCUUUUGACUCUUUGAUACUUUUCUUCUUUCCUGUGCAAACCUCAUUACACCUUUUUCAUUUUGAGUUCAAACAUACUAUAUUUUCUCUUAUUUGCUAUCUAUUAUUUUAUUAAUAUAAGUCCUAUUAGGUAGGAGUGAUAAUUUGGCUCGCUGUUCGUGAGUCAACUCGUGUUCGGCUCGAAAUGCGCUUGAGAUUGAACCGCUCGUUUAGUAAACGAGCAAAAUACGAGCUGAAUUUUUCAACUCGUUUAAUAAACGACCCGAACACAAACUAGAAUCAGGUCGUUCGUAUUCGGCUCGAUUACAGCUCGAAUAUAUAUUUAUAUAUAAAUAAAUAAUUAUAUAUAUCAUGUAGAUUUUUAUUAUUUGAUUUUUAGCCAUCCUAAAUAUAAAACCAACUCAAUUAUAAAAAAAUUUAUUUAUGUGUAAAGUUUCAACCAUUAGAUCAAAGUCUAAUAGGUAAGAUCUCCAAAAUUUAUAUUCUAUAUAUAUGUCCUUUCGAGUUCGGCUACUAUACUCAUAGGAUCUUUUUAUAUUCAUAAAUUUUUGACCGUUAGAUCUACUUCGACCAUUUUUAUUCGUUAGAUCAUACUAUUCAAGCAAUCAGCUACACAAUCCUAGGAGACCACUAUCAUCUCAAUCGAUGAUUACUAUCAUCCUAACCAUACAUUUCUUCAUCCAACGAUCGAAAAUUUAUGAGUACAAAGGAUUCUAUAAUCAUAAAAGUAUAAUAACUCUAGCCUAUCCUUUCUGAUAUUUUAACUUGUUGUUUAUGAGCCAACCCGUGUUUGGCUCGUUAAUAAAAUUUUUGGAUCGAUACUUUAAUGAGGCAGCUCGAGAUCGACUCUUUUAUGAAACAAGCCAAACAUGAGGCGCCCAGCUCGUUUCUGUUGGAUGGUUGACACCCCUACUAUUAGGAGUCCUUUACUGCUAUUAAAUGUUAAAAAAAGGGAUAAAAAGUAUAUAAAAAUAUUUUUUUUAUUGAUAAGCUCAUACAAUUAUAUUUAUAUAUAUUAACAAAAUAAGUGUAUAGCUACUAUGCUAUCUGAAGUAUAGAUGAUUUAAUAUUUCUAAUUUGUUGACCCCUGAAUCAAGAAUUAUAUAGUUGGAAUGAUUGCAAUCCUUUCUAGGAUUGAGUUAGUACCUUUACAGUUGAGGUAAUAGUAUUAAUCUAAAAAUUAGAAAUGUUCAAAGGGGAUGAUCUAAGAAUGAAAAAGUAAGAAAAUAUUAUAUUCUUUAUGUUCCUAAUAGCAUAAUAGCUCUACUCAUAAAAUAAUUAAUUACUUAUCACAAUAAAUAAAAUAUUUAUUGUAGAAUUUGGAAUAGGAAUUAAGGGCCCGUGAACGAAUGACUAAUGUAGCUUUAAAAGUGAAAGAGAGAGAGAGAGAGAGAGAGAGAGAGAGGAAUAUAUGUGAGAGGUAAACGCGUAGGAAGCGACGGGAAAUUACUAAUGCGGUGGUCCCCACACGACGACCAUGGAAAAAGCAUUUCGUAAUCGCGAAGUAGGGGUUUUUUACUAAACUAACCUUUCUUUUUAUUUCAUAAUAAUUUUAAAAUUAAAACUAAAUUUCGAGUGGUAGCGACUGCAAAGAAAAUAUUUUUAAAGAAAAUGGUGAUAUGAACUGAACAAAUCGUAGGCACCACUCAAUUGUUCUAGAAAUUUGAGGUAAAUAAUCUUUGGAGAUCCCCUCAAAUAUAGUUUGGGACGUCGAUGGGCACAGAUAUUUAAAAUUGUAUUUGAAUAUGAAUCUGAAUGGACUGAUGGUAAAAUAGUAAUGAUUUUGAUUAUGAAUAUACAGAUUGGAAAUCUACGGAUUUUGAUCUAGGUAUUAUUUUUGUAUGUACAUGAACAGAAGCUAAACUGAAACCAAACUAUAUAGAGUAAGGCUACUAUGCUAUCGGAAGCACGGAGCCUUCCGUGCUUCCAGCUCGUUUUUGAUGUUGCGACUUUCGAAUCGUCGAUCGACUCCGUUAAACUUGAUCUAGAGUAUUUGAAGUACCUAGAAAAUAAAUUUUAUGAUUUUAAGAUAUCAUUUGCCUAGUGAACGAAGGGACUCAAAAUCAACGGCUGAAAAUAAAAAUCUUACAAAAUGUAAUAAUAUGACAUUAAAAUUUUAAAUCAAAGAUAUUGAUCUUGUUUUAUAUAGUAUAAAGAAUUUUCUAUCAAAAUUUCACGUGAUUUGGAUAUUUCUACACCGUUAAACUUGUAAACGGCUCACUACGGCCAUUGAAAUUUGUUGAUUUUGAGCCCAUUCGAUCACUAGGCAAAUAAUAUCGAAAAAUAAUAAAAUUUAUUUUCUAGAUACUCCAAAUACUCUAGAUCAAAUUUAACGGAGCCGAUCGACGAUUCGAAAGUCGCAACAUCAAAAACGAGCUAGAAGCACGGUAGGCUCCGUGCUUCCAAUAGCAUAGUAGCCUCACUCAACUAUAUAUGUAUAUUAAUAAUAUAAUUUGAUAUUUGGUAUAUUAAAUUGUCGGGUUUGGGUCGGGUUUGGGUUUUUUUGAUUUCGGGUACGGUUUUUGGCUUUUUAUUUGGCAUAGUUUCGGAUUUAGAUGUUUAUAUCCGAUUGUGUUUGGGAACAGUUCCAAAUUUUUUUAAAAAUAUUUUAUUAUAAAAUGUUUACUUCUCUUGUGAAAUAUACAUAACACUUUUAAACAACUUGGAUGAACUAAUUAAAUUUUUUUUAUAUUAUCUAAUACCAGUUUCGUGAUAAUUCAGACGAAUAUAGUAUUCAAACAUGUUGCAGUAUGAUCAAAUUUUUAAAAUUCAAAUACACAAGUUGGCUAAAAAUUUGAUGGUUGAUUUCGAAGUUCCAAGUUGGAAGUCUAAUUAAUUAUAUUUCCAGCUGAGCCUAAUUUUUUUUUAAAAAUAAGCGAACCGCUUGCUAUCUUUGUUCUGGAAAAAAAAAUUCAAAUGGAUUUUAUUUCAUUACUAAAAUAGAAAUGAGAAAUAAAAUUGGAUUGUAUUGUAACGAAAGAUAAAAUGAUAAAUUAUUUAAAAAUAUUUUGUUCAUUAUUGGAAUGAAAAUGUAAAAUGUAAAUUAACAUUUAAAAUUUUCAAAGAGAAUUUUGGUUAAGAGAAAGGAGAGUGGUGAAGAAAGAGGAGAGGAUUGAGUCAUUCUCGUUCCAAGAGGAAUGAAAAUAUAAAAUUAGAUUUCUGUAAAAUAAAUUAAUGAAUUUUAUUUUAAUUUUAUAGUUUAAAAAAAGGUUACUUUUAUAACGGUCUCUCUAAAUAUAGUAAAUUACAAAUAUAUUCCUACAAAAUUUAAUUUUUCUAUGUCAUCUCGACAAAAGUCCUAAUAUUUUUAAAUAUGUUCAUGCCGUUAGUAUCCGUUAGAAAAAACUAGAUAACCAUAAAUAAAAUACUUAAUCCUAAUUAGUUAAUGAAGUGAAUUGACCGUUUUACCCCUCUUUAAUUAAUGGUUGGGAUUUUUCGAGGUACAUAUUUGUGAUGUCAAAAAGAUCAUUUCACUUAUAAAAUAAAUAAUAUUUUAACAGUAAUAAACUAGAUGGAUAUAUUUAAAAAUAUUAAGACUUUUACCAAGUAAUAUAUAAAAAUUAAAUUUUAUAGAAAUAUAUUUAUAAUUCACUAUAUUUAUAAAAAUCUGUAUGGAAUUAACUCUGAGUUUUGACGAGGGAGAUGAUGCUUGUUACCAUCACCCUGUUUCUAUGGCAGAUAAUAUACGCACGAUUCCUCCCCACUGCCACGCAAUCUGAUCCGUUGGAUUACUGUAGGAGGAUCGAACUUAGGCGUAUGUUCUCCACUUGUUUGUGUGUCACGUAAAUAUCUUCGAGGGUAAUGCUUUCCAACGCAAAAGAUAUUUCUUAAAUAUAAAAGUAUACAAAUAUUGAUGAUCAGUACAUGAGAUUCUAAAUUCAAAUUUUAAUUAUUUUUUAAACUUAAUUUAUUUUAAAAAAAUAAAUGAAUCAGAUAACAUGCCAUCUUUCUCUAAAAAAAUAUAAAAUUAUAAAAAUAUUGUAAAAAAUAUUGUUAUCUAAUAAUAUAAACUUUUACAAAAAAAAAAAAAAUGUGUCGUACAAUUUAAUAUGAUAUUAGAGCUGAAGGCUCUAAGUUUGAUUCUAUGAUCCAGCUUUUAUUUAAUUUAAUUUUCUUUCGAUUAAUUGAAAAUCAACAAAAUGGGCCUAUUAAAAAGCUUCGAACUUUUUUUAAUGGUUGACACCCAUUUAACUUUUAAUUAUUUUUUAAUUUGAGUUCUUAUUGUUAAUUAAGUUAAUUAUUUGGGUUAAAUUUCAUCGCUCGAGCUAUUUGCAGUUAAUUAAUCUAGUUUUAUUUCUUACGAAGUAGCUUAAAAUAUUAAAUUUGAUAUAAUUAUCAAUUUAUUUGAUAAAAUCUCUAUUUACUUAGCUAAAAUUAUUUAAAUAUAAAAUUUUAAAAGUUUAGAAGAUCUCAAUGAAAAAAAGGGGGAAAAAAACUUAUAGAGGACAAUUUAAAAAAGGCCAAUAGUUGAGAGGGUCUCCGUACAUUUUUAGCUCAAUAAAAUUAGUAUAAAUUAAAAUAAUUAAAAGGUGUCUAUCUCAAAAUAGCGGAUGAUUGAGAGGAAUCUGAUAAAAUUUUUAUAUCUAAAAUAUUAAAUUAUCAGUUAACUAUCUCAUGUUCAAAAUUAACUCACCAAUUAUAUUUACACGCCUUUUAUUGAUUCAAGAUUUAUAAUACUUUGAUAUGCUGUACAUUUUAUAUUAGAAAUGACAAAUAUAUUACUAAUUUAUUAAUUCGUUUAGAUCAGAAAUUAUUAAGAACUAGUAUAAUUUUAUUAAUAGACCACUCAGAAAUGUCUCCCAUAAUAAGUGUACCUCAUAAUUCAUAAUAAUUAAUCUAGUAUUUCUACUAUCUUAAAAUUUACAGUAAUUUUACUAUUUUACUAAUAUUUUUUUAUAGCUUUUCAAUUUAAAUUAAAUAAUAAUAAUUUAAAUAUUUUUAAUAAAAAAUAUAAAAAUUUACUGAAUAUUACAAAUGGUGAAUGAAAUGGGCCCAUUUCCAUUCUAUAUUAUUAAGCAGCUAUUUUGAUCACUUCACAAGAUUUCUCUUAACAAAGAGAAUACCAUAAUAGUGGAGGAUAUUUAUCUAUCUGUUUUUUAUAAAUUAAUCCCCACUUUUGGUAAUGUCGUAACGUGUCCAAAGAUCUAUUCCCCAUGGAACAUGUCCAGUUGUACUAAUUAUUAUUACAUUGAAAAUAAAAUAAGAAAACAAAACCAUGUGGCAAAAAUGUGAGCAAUGCUUGGUUGAUGUGAUGUGACAUAUAUGUAGAGAGAGAGAGAGAGAGAAAGUAGGAUUUCUGUGUUGUUAAAAAUACUUGUGCUUCUAAUUUCUUAACUCUUUAUCAAUUUUGAUGAAUGAUUAAGGUAAGAAAGAGAAAAAAAUUGAAGAAAAAUAUAAUUAGUUUAGAAUAUUAUUAAUAGCAUUAAGUUAUUAGUGUUAUUAAAUUUUUUGCUUUUGGAUGAAGGGAUGUGCAGUUAAGACGAUAGUGAUCCUUUAGGAUUGAGUGGGUGAUUUGUUGAAUAUAUAGUAUGAUCUAACGGAUAAAAAUGAUCAAAAAAAUAUAUUUAACGGCAAAAAACUUGGUAGCAUCAAAUAUUUGGUGCUAUCGAUAGUAUUGUCGCGGGACUCUCUCAGUCUCUCUCUCUCUCUCUUCCUCUCUCUCUAUCUCUCUCUCUCUCUCUCUCUCUCUAUAUAUAUAUAUAUAUAUAUAUAUAUAUAUAUAUAUAUAUAUAGUCCGGCUGUAAUACUAUCGAUAGCACCAAGCGCGCGCUUGGUGCUAUCGAGUUUUCUGCCGUUAGAUUUAACCCUUUGACUUUUUUUAUCCUUUAGAUUAUACUAUUCAAUAAAUAACUUACUCAACCCUAGAGGGCCCACAUCAUCGUAACCGUACGUUUUUUCAUUCAAGGGCCGAAAAUUUAAUAGCACCAAGCGCUUGAUGCUAUCGAUAGUAUUCCAGCCUAGUUAUAUAUAUAUAUAUAUAUAUAUGGGUCCGGCUACUAUACUAUUAUGAGUAUGAUCGCCCUCGUACUCAUAAGUUAUUUUCGAUGAUAGAGCUUUCGAAUCGAUGAUCCACACCGUUAAACGUUAUUUAUAGCAUUUAAAAUUUCUAGAAAUCAAAUUUUAUAAUUUUCCGACAUCAUUUACCUUACGAUCAAGAGGUCACAAAUUUGACAAUUUUUAACGGCCGGUAUGGAAUACUUGCUAGUUUAACGGUGUAAAACAAUCGAAAUUUGUUGAAUUUUUGAUAGAAAAUUCUAUUCACUACAUAGAUAAAGAUCAAUAACUCCGAUCUUGAAUUGAAGGAUCCGAUCAUUUUUUUUAGGACAUCGUUCGAUUUUGACCGUUCAUUUUAUGCCCACUUGAUGAACUUUAUUAUGAUUUCAAAAAUUUACGAAAUUAAAUUUCUAGAAGUUUCAAAUACUCUAGAUCAUAUUUAACUGAGUGGAUCGUCGAUUCGGAAGCUCCAUCAUUGAAAACAACUUAUGAGUACGAGGGCUCCAAUACUCAUAAUAGUAUAGUAGCCAUGGCCUAUAUAUAUAUAUAUAAUCUGGCUACUAUACUUUUAUGAGUACGAUCGCCCUCGUACUCAUAAGUCGUUUUCAAUGAUAAAGCUUCCAAAUCGACGAUCCAUACCGUUAACCAUUAUCUAGAGCAUUUAAAACUUCUAGAAAUCAAAUUUCAUAAUUUUUCGACAUCAUUUGCCUUACGAUCGAACGCUCACAAAAUUGACAAUUUUUAACGGCCGGUAUGAGAUACUUGUUAGUUUAACAGUGUAAAAGAUUCGGAAUAUGUUGAAUUUUUUAUAAAAAAUUCUAUUCACUAUCUAAAUAAAGAUCAAUAACUUCGAUCUUAAAUUGAAGGAUCCGAUCAUUUAUUUUUAAGACGUCGUUCAAUUUUGACUGCCCAUUUUAUGCUCGUUUGAUGGACUUCAUUAUGAUUUCGAAAAAUUACGAAAUUUAUUUUUAAAAAUUUCAAAUACUAGAAGAUCACAUUUAACGAAAUUUAUUUUUUAGAAGUUUCAAAUACUCUAGAUCAUAUUUAACGGAAUUUGAUAUAUAUAUCAAACUCAAGUGAAGAGAGGACCCCAAACUUCAUCAUAGUUUCCGUUGAGAUAUAAUUUCACAGGGAUAUUAUACUUAUGAAAGUACCAUUACAUUCACAUGGUCUUCUUGAGACCUAAGAUGCAUGGAACUAAUUUGUGCUUUUAUUCUUAAAGUAGUAAUAUUCCAACACAACAUAUUCCUACACCGUCUCAAAUUCUCCCUCAAUAAACCCAUAUGCAAUUCGUGAAUUAUGCUACAAUACUCUUAGAAGUCCUAACUUUUGAGUAUUCGCAUGUCAUUUUUUAUGAUUAGAUAACAUAGUCAUAGCGCCAAAUUUUAUGAUUAUUCAAUAUUAUUUAUUAAUUAAUUAAGCAGUCUCAAAAUUAAUAAUUUCGAACCGUAUGCUUGAUUAUUAGAUAAAUAUAUGUCAAAAAAAAUUUAAAAAUGGUGGGGGUU
RNAcentral lists this long non-coding RNA (30764 nucleotides) under Ananas comosus (pineapple). Its description in RNAcentral is "long non-coding RNA (ACOM_LNC025380)". Lineage: Eukaryota; Viridiplantae; Streptophyta; Magnoliopsida; Poales; Bromeliaceae. The record is from RNAcentral.